Molecule: ribosomal RNA, 1372 nt
Filed under: uncultured bacterium
Lineage: Bacteria
Description: bacterial SSU rRNA
Rfam family: Bacterial small subunit ribosomal RNA
Source: RNAcentral
GAUGAACGCUGGCGGCGUGCCUAAUACAUGCAAGUCGAGCGAACGGACGAGAAGCUUGCUUCUCUGAUGUUAGCGGCGGACGGGUGAGUAACACGUGGAUAACCUACCUAUAAGACUGGGAUAACUUCGGGAAACCGGAGCUAAUACCGGAUAAUAUUUUGAACCGCAUGGUUCAAAAGUGAAAGACGGUCUUGCUGUCACUUAUAGAUGGAUCCGCGCUGCAUUAGCUAGUUGGUAAGGUAACGGCUUACCAAGGCAACGAUGCAUAGCCGACCUGAGAGGGUGAUCGGCCACACUGGAACUGAGACGCGGUCCAGACUCCUACGGGAGGCAGCAGUAGGGAAUCUUCCGCAAUGGGCGAAAGCCUGACGGAGCAACGCCGCGUGAGUGAUGAAGGUCUUCGGAUCGUAAAACUCUGUUAUUAGGGAAGAACAUAUGUGUAAGUAACUGUGCACAUCUUGACGGUACCUAAUCAGAAAGCCACGGCUAACUACGUGCCAGCAGCCGCGGUAAUACGUAGGUGGCAAGCGUUAUCCGGAAUUAUUGGGCGUAAAGCGCGCGUAGGCGGUUUUUUAAGUCUGAUGUGAAAGCCCACGGCUCAACCGUGGAGGGUCAUUGGAAACUGGAAAACUUGAGUGCAGAAGAGGAAAGUGGAAUUCCAUGUGUAGCGGUGAAAUGCGCAGAGAUAUGGAGGAACACCAGUGGCGAAGGCGACUUUCUGGUCUGUAACUGACGCUGAUGUGCGAAAGCGUGGGGAUCAAACAGGAUUAGAUACCCUGGUAGUCCACGCCGUAAACGAUGAGUGCUAAGUGUUAGGGGGUUUCCGCCCCUUAGUGCUGCAGCUAACGCAUUAAGCACUCCGCCUGGGGAGUACGACCGCAAGGUUGAAACUCAAAGGAAUUGACGGGGACCCGCACAAGCGGUGGAGCAUGUGGUUUAAUUCGAAGCAACGCGAAGAACCUUACCAAAUCUUGACAUCCUUUGACAACUCUAGAGAUAGAGCUUUCCCCUUCGGGGGACAAAGUGACAGGUGGUGCAUGGUUGUCGUCAGCUCGUGUCGUGAGAUGUUGGGUUAAGUCCCGCAACGAGCGCAACCCUUAAGCUUAGUUGCCAUCAUUAAGUUGGGCACUCUAAGUUGACUGCCGGUGACAAACCGGAGGAAGGUGGGGAUGACGUCAAAUCAUCAUGCCCCUUAUGAUUUGGGCUACACACGUGCUACAAUGGACAAUACAAAGGGCAGCGAAACCGCGAGGUCAAGCAAAUCCCAUAAAGUUGUUCUCAGUUCGGAUUGUAGUCUGCAACUCGACUACAUGAAGCUGGAAUCGCUAGUAAUCGUAGAUCAGCAUGCUACGGUGAAUACGUUCCCGGGUCU